Brassica rapa (field mustard) is the source of this 4422-nucleotide long non-coding RNA. RefSeq lists it as uncharacterized. NCBI's taxonomy places the organism in Eukaryota, Viridiplantae, Streptophyta, Magnoliopsida, Brassicales, Brassicaceae. The record is from RefSeq and is a predicted model, not a curated record.
UGGGUGCAGGUUGGUAGAUUUUGAAUAGUGGGUUGUAGAUUAGUAUGCUAGUAAUAUAUACAUAAAAAUAAUAUUAAUUACUAAAUCUAUAUAUAUAAAAAAUCAUUUUGUUUAAAUAUGUGCAUUUGGAAAGAGAAGAAGAUAAAUGCGUUGAGUAAAAAUAAUUUUAUGAACUCAUGGAUAGAGUAUGCCACUAUAGUAAUAUGACAAUAUUAUUAUAUACGUUGAAAAUAUACUAUACUAAAAUGAAGAUAUACUCCACUCUAAAGCUGUCCACGUUAGAUGAAAAAAACCAGCCACUAAUAUUGCAACAAUCAUUCAUGUCAUUUUGAUUAAUCUUGAUUUGGGCUUCGUGUUUUAUUUGGGCUUUUUCUCUUACUUUUGCUUUUUUUUUUUUGGUUUUUCUUGGCUUCAACAAAAACUAAAUUGUCUUUCUUCUUCGACGCAAGUCACGCGACUAUGAUGAACUUUCGCGAUUCUUCUUUCGAACUGAAACGGUGUUAUUAAUGGCUGUGUGAUUACUCGAAUUGAUUCACCUCUCCACGAUUCAUCUUCAAUGUUUGGCUUAGAUGUGAAAGGCGGUGUGUAAACAGUAUAAAUAGAUGUGACUUGUGAGAUCUCUCUCCUUGAACUCAUCUUCUCUUCAAUCAUCAAUCUAUUUUUUUUUAAAGCUUGAGUUCAUAUGAUUCUGGUUUCGUUUUAUUGAUUUAGAAAGUUUUAGUUUAUAUGAUUUUGUGUUCCUUUAUUGAUUUAUUUAAGGUUUAUGAUGUAAGAUGAUGCAAAGCAACUCGAUAUUUACUUUAUGCUGUUAUAACCGAUUAAUGAUUUAAUAUUUAUUGUAAUUUGUUUCAUCUACUCGAGGCCUCUCGCAGGCAACGCUCAUCUAAGGAUCAAUCACCUUUUACCGUUGUAACUCCUUCCGACAUAACUUGCAAGAAGGCCCAGUUUAUGAGUUAAAUGGUUUGAUUCCGAGAAGCAAUCCUACCUUCAAGUUUGCUGACGCAGCCGUUUCUAUUAAAUUCACGGACCAUACAGCUUUCGUGGAGGUCACAGACACAACUAAGCUGAUCCUGAAUCCCGAGGGAGAGCUUCAGGUUCCGCAAUACGAGUAGCUCAUGUCACUUGCCAAUACCAGCACUCAUUUUUCAGAUAUAUUUGGAGAAAUUAGGAGCAACAAAACCAUGUACAACGAAGACACCCAGAGCACUCAACGCCGCAAGGAAACCAUAAAGUUUGAUGAUAGGUAUUUGAUAUUUUGCUUCCAUAAACUUUUAACGUGUAACUUAUAUGUUUGUGCGAAGUUUAGUGUACGAUAAGAUACCUCUUUCCAACCAUUUCAGGGACAAGCCUGUCUGCCUCAGUGUUGUUGAUGGCCUUUCUGCGGACCUAGACACACAACUACUAAGCUCUGGCUGAAUCCCUGAAGUUACAGCUUUAGAAUAUUUAUUUAAUGACUCUGCUUCACUUUCUUUUUAUCAUGUGCGUUUCCAGGCACAGUCUUUGCAGUAUUUUGGAUUCUACAGUUACAUGGUGUUUCUAUCACAGUCCUCUCUAUAAGUGGCUUCAAAAUAUGAAUAGGGACAAAAACAUUUGAAUGGAUCACAUGUCUUAUUAAUAUUUCUAUCUUGAGUGCAGUUCGAGCUUGAAAAUUGUUGUGUCAAAGCAGUAAACCGGAGAAAGAAUAAGAACAUGUACAGAGUUUGGGUUCGUGGGAAGUUCCAAAAGCCAUUUCUAAAAUAAAGAAAGGGAAGUGCUGGUCCAAUGUGGAAUGGCUAAAAAGUUUAUUUAUUUUUUAACAACUUCAUGUCAAACUCUUUUGCGGCUCUUCUAGCAUGCAGCUUCUUUGCAUAGUGCAUCUUCUCAACUGCUCAUUGAUUCGACCCUCUGUCUCAAUGUGUUUGACGGAUAAGUCAACCACCUUCCUUAAAGUUUGAACGUUUGGGGUUUGGAACCAACAACCCAAAAAAAACUUUUUUGUUAAUAAUAUUUUGAGAUUGUUUGUUGUAAUGUCCAAAUAUGGGAAUCAUCUGAUAUAAAUUGAGAAAUGCUUCUUCUAGAGGGGAGGAGGAUAUGAAGAAAUCCAUCUUCAAGAUCGCCAGUUUCUUGAUCUGAUUCUUACUGAUUGCUCAUGUUUAUUAACUAGAAACAUCGAACUAUUUUAUACUAAUCAGAGAAUCCAAUAUCAUGUGAGCUUUCACAUCAAUUGGUGCUUUCACACAACACACAUGCAGAUACACAUUUAAUAAGAAUUACAACAUGUGCAUCUACUUUCUAGGGUGUUGUACUUCUGUUAUCCACAUACUUGCGUCAGAGGACUCAUCAGAACCUAUAUAUUUGUGACAAAAAAGUAUUAAAUCAUUUUUAGUGUUGCUACGUACGGAAGAGGUUGUCUGCAAGGGCUAUGGAGAUGAUAAAGUUCUAAGAUAAUAAAGAAGAGGUGAAUAAAGAAUUAAGAGAAAAUGUGUACUGGAAAUCACAAAAGAAAACUGAAAUGUUCUGGAGUUUAUACACGUUUUUUUAGUUUUAGUCUGAAGAUCUUUAGUGAUGUUCACAAAACAUGAUAUAAAUAUAAUUUACAUUUUUGUAAAUUGUUUCAAAACCUUAAUAACAGUUUUUUGUAUCUUCCAUAGUCUAUGUUUAAUUAUUAACAUAAAAUAAACAUAUCAUAUUGACCAUAUAACAAAAAGAUACAUUUUUCGUAUAUUUUAUUAUUUGAAUUUUAGAAAAUGACUAUAAAUUACUAAUACUAUUCAAAUUCCCACAUUAAAGGUUGUGAUCAAGGGUUUAAAAAUUGUAUUGUAGAAAAUAUAAAUAAUCGUAAAACAUAUGAGUGAAAAUUUUCAUUUAAUAGAUAUUCAAAAUAUAUAUAUUAAAGUAUAUACCAUAUAAAAAUAUAAAAUUAUUUUUAUUUCAAAAUUUUCAUUGAUGAUUUGCAAUGAAUAUUCAAGAGCUGUUAUAAAUUACUAAAAUUAUUAAAAGUCUCACAUUAAUUUCUUUUGUUAUCAUAAGCUUACAAUUUUUGUUAUAAAAGAUGCAUAAAAUCAUAAAACCAUACGAUUAAUAAUUUUCAUUUAAUAGAUAUCUAUAUUAAAAUACAUUAUAUAUUUAUGUUAAUAUCAUUUUUUCCCAAAAACAAUUUCCUAAAAAAUUAAUUUAUGUUACUAUCAUUUAAAUUUAUUUAUAUCUAUACAAAAUAUAUAAAAUGAUUGUUUAGAUUUAUUUACCUAUAAUUUAUCACCAGUUUAUCACUUUUAACUUAAAAAUGUCUAUUUGAGAUAAUUUCUCUAUAAUUUAUCAUUAGUCAAUUUUAAUAUUUAAUUAGAUGCUAAAUAUAUAAAGAUAUGUUUCUUAAUAUUUGUAUUUUUAACCCAAAAUACUUAUAAUUUGAAACAAAAUAAAUAUUAAACAUAAUAAUAGAUUUUUAGCCUACAAUUUACUGUUACAUCUCAAUCACAACUUACAAAAUACUAUAAUAAAUGUAAAAGGCACCACAUAAGUUAUUAUAUGAUAAUAACUUCCAGUACAACAGCAUGAAUACUCAGAAAGAAAUGAUGUAAUGCCACCCUAAGAAAAAAAACAUAACUAAUUAUCAACAUAGCAUGGUUUAUUUAGUCUUUAAAAAACAUGUAUAAAAUUUAACUAAUAUAUUUAUUUUUAUUUAAUAAAAAUAUAUUAAAUAUUUACUCUAACAAUUUAAACUAUUUUUAAAUAUUCAUCCCACCGGUAGUAAAUGAAUAUUUACUCUAAGAUAUGUGGCAUACCAUAAGAAAUAACAAAUUAUCUUUUAAAUUUAUUGGAAGAAACAAAGCAAAUAGUAAAUGAACUAUUUAGUAAAACUGCUUAAAUACAAAAACAAAUAUGCAAAAUAAAUUCAAGUUCAAAAAAAAUAAUUUAUAUAGUAUAGGAUAAAAACUAAAAAUUCAGAUGUACUAACCGCGUAUAGCAUCAUUUACCAAAAUAAUAUAACAACAUUUGAAUCCAAUAACAUCAACAAUAACCAUUCUUUUAAAAUUAGAUGCACUACUCUUUACAUAUAAAAAGAGUUACAAUACAAUUUACCAGAAAUUACUAUCUCAAAAUAAAAAUACACAAAUUUAAUUUAAUUUAAUAAUAUUAUAGGAAAAAUCCGGGCGUAGCCCGAAAAACCCUCUAGUUACAUUAGAAGUUACCGAGAACACUGUUUUAUGAUGGAGAAAAUGUGUGUCUAUAGCUAGAAAAUGAAAAAACAAAAAGAGAAAUUACAUGUUUACCACUUUCAUGGUACCACUUUUCAUUUUUACCACCACUAAAGAGACAUUUUCAAAAAUACCUUCUUUAUUAAGUAGCAAAAGACUUUUAUGCCCUUGUUAUUAUAUAUAUAAUAAAUCAUUAUUUAAAUAAAAAAAUAAAUAAUAAAAAAAAUAAAUAAAUAAAAAAAGUAAA